UCCGGGAUCGUCCAAUCGGCAGGACAUACGGCUCUGGACCGUAGAAUCGAGGUUCGAAUCCUUGUCCCGGAGCCA
This 75-nucleotide transfer RNA is filed under the name Acidobacteriota bacterium. RNAcentral's name for it is "tRNA-Gln". It matches the Rfam family "tRNA". From Rfam's summary of the family: Transfer RNA (tRNA) molecules are approximately 80 nucleotides in length. Lineage: Bacteria; Pseudomonadati; Acidobacteriota. The record is from RNAcentral. RNAcentral also lists the same sequence under 3 other names.